CGCGGGCAAAAUGGGUCAGGGUCCCCCCCAUCUCCCCCGCACCCCCCAGUACCCCUGUGUGGAUUCCUGACAUUUAACAGCCAUGGCACCAACCACUGUGACUGUGCUAAGAGGCUCGGAGGCCUGCUUGGGGUGAACCAGGAAAACUCUCAAGAGGCCAAUUUGUGAGUACUCCUAGAUUUAUUUAUUGUGAUUAUAUUAUUUCCUGUGCACAAGAAUCCGUAGGGAGCUCUCCUCUGCUCUUCAAGAAUGUCGUACAUGAAUAAAACAGCCUAAGAACCAAGCAUCAGCACCAGUGGACAGGGAAAGAGUAGCUGUAAUUCCAGAGACAAUGUCAAAGAGGAUUGUUAAUUAGUAAUGCAGGAACAAACAGUUGCACACACACACACACACACACACACACACACACACACACACACACACACACACACACACACACACACACACACACACACACACACACACACACAUACACACACACACACACACACACACACACGCACGCACACACACGCACACACACACUGUGGACUGUACGCUGAAUGCUCUUCAGUGACCUGAUAGGCUAAAAUUGUCACCACUUUGAGGCUUGUAAAGUCAAUCUCACACGCUCUCUCUGGUGUCAUGUCUGUAAUCUGCUUUUGGUCUGAGACUUCUAUUCUCAUCGCUGAAGCGGCCACACAAUCUUUUGUUGCGGCAGCAGGCUGCAGCUACAGCAUCUACUGGCAGGAAGUCAGCCCCAACACACACAGGAAGUAUGAGAGAAAUAAGCUCUAGUCUGCAAUGAGAAGAUCAAUGUUCAAACAUGCUACAUGAGCAGGUUCAUCUUCGUCUUUUUCCACUCAAGAACAUAUGUUGGUGAAAUGAAGAAACAUGUAACAACGUGUCUGGUUCUGGUCUUUCGAUUUAGAAUGUUUUAGCGGGAACAUUUCUCUGCACGUGUUUAAGCAGAGUUGUACAAUUCAGAGAAAUAUUCUUUGUCAUAGAAACAAACAAUGAGGAGUACUAAACUUCACUGAUGUUAUACAUAUACUGUAUAUAUAUGA
Clupea harengus (Atlantic herring) is the source of this 1046-nucleotide long non-coding RNA. The record is from Ensembl. NCBI's taxonomy places the organism in Eukaryota, Metazoa, Chordata, Actinopteri, Clupeiformes, Clupeidae.